GUCGAGCGAACGGACGAGAAGCUUGCUUCUCUGAUGUUAGCGGCGGACGGGUGAGUAACACGUGGAUAACCUACCUAUAAGACUGGGAUAACCUCGGGAAACCGGAGCUAAUACCGGAUAAUAUUUUGAACCGCAUGGUUCAAAAGUGAAAGACGGUCUUGCUGUCACUUAUAGAUGGAUCCGUGCUGCAUUAGCUAGUUGGUAAGGUAACGGCUUACCAAGGCAACGAUGCAUAGCCGACCUGAGAGGGUGAUCGGCCACACUGGAACUGAGACACGGUCCAGACUCCUACGGGAGGCAGCAGUAGGGAAUCUUCCGCAAUGGGCGAAAGCCUGACGGAGCAACGCCGCGUGAGUGAUGAAGGUCUUCGGAUCGUAAAACUCUGUUAUUAGGGAAGAACAUAUGUGUAAGUAACUGUGCACAUCUUGACGGUACCUAAUCAGAAAGCCACGGCUAACUACGUGCCAGCAGCCGCGGUAAUACGUAGGUGGCAAGCGUUAUCCGGAAUUAUUGGGCGUAAAGCGCGCGUAGGCGGUUUUUUAAGUCUGAUGUGAAAGCCCACGGCUCAACCGUGGAGGGUCAUUGGAAACUGGAAAACUUGAGUGCAGAAGAGGAAAGUGGAAUUCCAUGUGUAGCGGUGAAAUGCGCAGAGAUAUGGAGGAACACCAGUGGCGAAGGCGACUUUCUGGUCUGU
RNAcentral lists this ribosomal RNA (694 nucleotides) under uncultured Staphylococcus sp. RNAcentral's name for it is "bacterial SSU rRNA". It matches the Rfam family "Bacterial small subunit ribosomal RNA", at positions 61 to 737 of the family's 1533-position model. The record is from RNAcentral. Lineage: Bacteria; Bacillati; Bacillota; Bacilli; Caryophanales; Staphylococcaceae.